RNAcentral lists this ribosomal RNA (253 nucleotides) under uncultured bacterium. RNAcentral's name for it is "partial 16S ribosomal RNA". It matches the Rfam family "Bacterial small subunit ribosomal RNA", at positions 524 to 776 of the family's 1533-position model. The record is from RNAcentral.
UACGGAGGGUGCAAGCGUUAAUCGGAAUUACUGGGCGUAAAGCGUGCGUAGGCGGCUGAUUAAGUCAGAUGUGAAAGCCCCGGGCUUAACCUGGGAACUGCAUCUGAUACUGGUCAGCUAGAAUGUGGGAGAGGAGAGUGGAAUUUCCGGUGUAGCGGUGAAAUGCAUAGAGAUCGGAAGGAACACCAGUGGCGAAGGCGGCUCUCUGGACCAACAUUGACGCUGAGGCACGAAAGCGUGGGUAGCAAACAGG